CAAGUCGAACGGGCAUCUUCGGAUGUCAGUGGCAGACGGGUGAGGAACACGUGGGAACAUGCCCUUCGGUUCGGAAUAACUCAGGGAAACUUGAGCUAAUACCGGAUACGCCCGAGAGGGGAAAGAUUUAUUGCCGAAGGAUUGGCCCGCGUCUGAUUAGCUAGUUGGUGAGGUAACGGCUCACCAAGGCGACGAUCAGUAGCUGGUCUGAGAGGAUGAUCAGCCACAUUGGGACUGAGACACGGCCCAAACUCCUACGGGAGGCAGCAGUGGGGAAUAUUGGACAAUGGGCGAAAGCCUGAUCCAGCCAUGCCGCGUGAGUGAUGAAGGCCUUAGGGUUGUAAAGCUCUUUUAUCCGGGAAGAUAAUGACUGUACUGGAAGAAUAAGCCCCGGCUAACUUCGUGCCAGCAGCCGCGGUAAUACGAAGGGGGCUAGCGUUGCUCGGAAUCACUGGGCGUAAAGGGCGCGUAGGCGGAUGAUUAAGUCGGAGGUGAAAGCCCAGGGCUCAACCCUGGAAUUGCCUUCGAUACUGAUCGUCUCGAGAAUGGAAGAGGUAAGUGGAAUACCGAGUGUAGAGGUGAAAUUCGUAGAUAUUCGGUGGAACACCAGUGGCGAAGGCGACUUACUGGUCCAUUUCUGACGCUGAGGCGCGAAAGCGUGGGGAUCAAACAGGAUUAGAUACCCUGGUAGUCCACGCCGUAAACGAUGAAUGCCAGCCGUUGGGGAGCUUGCUCUUCAGUGGCGCAGCUAACGCUUUAAGCAUUCCGCCUGGGGAGUACGGUCGCAAGAUUAAAACUCAAAGGAAUUGACGG
Molecule: ribosomal RNA, 813 nt
Filed under: uncultured bacterium
Lineage: Bacteria
Description: bacterial SSU rRNA
Rfam family: Bacterial small subunit ribosomal RNA
Source: RNAcentral